AUACGUAGGGUGCAAGCGUUAAUCGGAAUUACUGGGCGUAAAGCGUGCGCAGGCGGUUUUGUAAGACAGAGGUGAAAUCCCCGGGCUCAACCUGGGAACUGGCUUUGUGACUGCAAGGCUAGAGGACGGCAGAGGGGGAUGGAAUUCAGGGUGUAGCAGUGAAAUGCGUAGAUAUGCGGAGGAACACCGAUGGCGAAGGCAAUCCCCUGGGCCUGUACUGACGCUCAUGCACGAAAGCGUGGGGAGCAAACAGGAUUAGAUACCCUGGUAGUCCACGCCCUAAACGAUGUCAACUGGUUGUUGGGUCUUCAUUGACUCAGUAACGAAGCUAACGCGCGAAGUUGACCGCCUGGGGAGUACGGCCGCAAGGUUGAAACUUAAAGGAAUUGGCGGGG
This 395-nucleotide ribosomal RNA is filed under the name uncultured bacterium. RNAcentral's name for it is "partial 16S ribosomal RNA". It matches the Rfam family "Bacterial small subunit ribosomal RNA", at positions 523 to 918 of the family's 1533-position model. The record is from RNAcentral.